CAGGAAGUGGGAAGGAAAGCCACUGCCAGCAACUGCACCUGGUGAGGAGCUCUGCCACCUCUGGCUGUGUGAUCUGGUUGCAGGUAUUGGGUACAGCCGGGCGGAAAGGUGACUAAGAAGACACCAUCAUAGCUAUUUGUCACCAAGUCCGGCGAGACAGGAAGCGGUCCCUCGGGAGUCUUCCCCUGAGCUGGAAUGCUGGAUGUAUAUUCCCCCUUCUCCUUCCCUCCCAGAGGGCUGGACCACUGGACAUCCUUCACAUGCUGAGCACUACCAGCUGAGAGCUUUCAGGAAAGCAUGCUAGAGCUAUUCCCAGGUAUGUAUAUGUGUUAUCUUUGCCUUUGGCUCUUAGCUCAGCUCCUGAGAGUUCUGUGAGGUAUGUAUGUGUUGAGGACUCUGAGUGUGGGCUGCAGGCCCUGGAUCCCAGAGCUCACACACUGCAGAAAGUGAUGGAUUCUGUCAAGGUCAGGGUUUCUGUUGAAGAGACGGUGGGCCCUGACGCCUGGGAUGCUUCCCCAUCACGGCCACUAGGGGGAGCCUAAGACCUUGUUCUCAGCAGGUUGCUCUACAAGUGGCACCCAGAGGGCAGGUGGGAUGUCAAGAGGGUCCCAAGUAAUGAUGCAUUUCAGACUUCUUAAUUGAAAUCUUACACGAGGUCCUAUGUUCCAGGGGCAAUUAGUGGAGAAAUUUUGGGAAGGGAAAGGGAAGAAGCAUAGAGGGCAGAUCUGUCUACUUGUAUAUAGAUGUCUGCUGAGGUACGCGCGCACGCACGCACGUACACACACACAUACGUACAAGAUGGCCUUGGCACUGGGCUGGGGGGAAGCAACAGCCCCGACUCAAUAAGGGGAGUGGAGCUCACUGUGAUGCUUGAGGAAACCAGAGACACAAGAUGAGAGAUGAGUGUUUGCGUCUGCAUGGCCGUCUUCGUGAGCUCCGGCCCUCUGCUGAGGAGGAGGCCUGGCUGCAGGGCCUGCACCUCCAGCCGCUGACGUCUAACGCAAGGCUGGCUGACUGCCAUCUGUCCUUGCAUCACAAAACAUAGCGUCCCCACUGAGUCUCACCAAUGUGGGAGGAAACAUGUAAUGCAACAUUAAGUGAACA
Molecule: long non-coding RNA, 1104 nt
Organism: Fukomys damarensis (Damara mole-rat)
Lineage: Eukaryota; Metazoa; Chordata; Mammalia; Rodentia; Bathyergidae
Exons: 3
Source: RefSeq, a predicted model, not a curated record